GAUCCUGGCUCAGGAUGAACGCUAGCUACAGGCUUAACACAUGCAAGUCGAGGGGCAGCAUGGUCUUAGCUUGCUAAGGCCGAUGGCGACCGGCGCACGGGUGAGUAACACGUAUCCAACCUGCCGUCUACUCUUGGACAGCCUUCUGAAAGGAAGAUUAAUACAAGAUGGCAUCAUGAGUCCGCAUGUUCACAUGAUUAAGGUAAUUCCGGUUACGACGAUGGGGAGG
RNAcentral lists this ribosomal RNA (229 nucleotides) under uncultured bacterium. Its description in RNAcentral is "partial 16S ribosomal RNA". It matches the Rfam family "Bacterial small subunit ribosomal RNA", at positions 15 to 233 of the family's 1533-position model. The record is from RNAcentral.